UACGGAGGGUGCAAGCGUUAUCCGGAUUCACUGGGUUUAAAGGGUGCGUAGGUGGGCAGGUAAGUCAGUGGUGAAAUCUCCGGGCUCAACCCGGAAACUGCCAUUGAUACUAUCAGUCUUGAAUAUCGUGGAGGUAAGCGGAAUAUGUCAUGUAGCGGUGAAAUGCUUAGAUAUGACAUAGGACACCAAUUGCGAAGGCAGCUUACUACCCGAAUAUUGACACUGAGGCACGAAAGCGUGGGGAUCAAACAGG
RNAcentral lists this ribosomal RNA (253 nucleotides) under uncultured bacterium. Its description in RNAcentral is "partial 16S ribosomal RNA". It matches the Rfam family "Bacterial small subunit ribosomal RNA", at positions 524 to 776 of the family's 1533-position model. The record is from RNAcentral.